This 505-nucleotide long non-coding RNA is filed under the name Homo sapiens (human). RNAcentral's name for it is "HSALNT0156542". Lineage: Eukaryota; Metazoa; Chordata; Mammalia; Primates; Hominidae. The record is from RNAcentral.
AUCUUGAAUGUGGAUGUCCUGGCUGGGAACACAGCAGCCAACUCGUGAGUGUGGGUAACAAGCAGGGACAAAAGACCACCAGAGUCACAGAGACGCAGCUGCGGUGACACCGAGGCUGUUGGCCGGAGGUCAUCUCAGCUCCUAGCUGGGUAUUAGCUGGAGGCUGUCCUCAGUCCAGUGCCGUGGGCCUCCCCAGCUUGGCUGCGUGUGGCAGCAAAUCCAGCCAGGCGGUCCUCAGCAAGAGAGACAUCACAAUCUCACAGGUGAUCCACUCGGCUCUCUUCUCUUCUGCGUCCUGCUCUAUGGCCUGGGAAGCUGAUCUCCAAGGAUCGCAUUCCUAGGGCUCUCUGGCCCAUGGGCUUCCCGUUGGGUUUGCCCAAUGGACAGCCAUGGCAGAAGAUCAAAGGGAAGAUGGCAGGAAGCUGUCCCCCACUCCUCGCCUGGCUGAGUUCUGGCGAUGGCUGCCAUCCAGGGUCCUGAGUCCCACCAGGUAUGGUCACCAUGC